GACGAACGCUGGCGGCGUGCUUAACACAUGCAAGUCGAACGCAGUGGCGAACGGGUGAGUAACGCGUAAUCAACCUGCCCUUCAGAGGGGGCCAACAGUUGGAAACGACUGCUAAUACCGCAUACUGACGGUGGGGAUUGCGUCUGAUUAGCUAGUUGGAGGGGUAACGGCCCACCAAGGCGAUGAUCAGUAGCCGGACUUGGAGGAUGAAAGGCAACAUUGGGAAUGAGAAACGGCCCAGACUCCUACGGGAGGCAGCAGUGGGGAAUCUUCCGCAAUGGACGAAAGUCUGACGGAGCAACGCCGCGUGAGUGAUGACGGCCUUCGGGUUGUAAAGCUCUGUUAAGCGGGACGCGGUACCGGAAUAGAAAGCAACGGCUAACUACGUGCCAGCAGCCGCGGUAAUAC
Molecule: ribosomal RNA, 408 nt
Filed under: uncultured bacterium
Lineage: Bacteria
Description: partial 16S ribosomal RNA
Rfam family: Bacterial small subunit ribosomal RNA
Source: RNAcentral